Long non-coding RNA from Harpegnathos saltator (Jerdon's jumping ant), 501 nucleotides. RefSeq lists it as uncharacterized. The transcript is spliced from 3 exons. NCBI's taxonomy places the organism in Eukaryota, Metazoa, Arthropoda, Insecta, Hymenoptera, Formicidae. The record is from RefSeq and is a predicted model, not a curated record.
AAUGCAGGCGGGACAACGACGAAGACGACGACGACGACGACGACGACGACAUGGACCGUGCUCCCGAUAGCGAACCCUUACAUUCAUCAGAACUUGUGACCGUGUGAUGGAUGCAGUUUCCUGGGGUGCAGUUUUGGCGAACCGGAGGAUCCGGUUCUGGCCGAGCAGGGUCAGCUCGAAGAUCUGUAGCUGAACAUGUGGCUGGCCCUGAGCUCUCGGUCUUUUGGUGAGUGAAAAAAUAGAACAAAUAAAGGAUAAUAUUGCUUUGGUGGUGGCUGUUUACAAAUUAUCAUUGAAAUCAAUGCGAUUGUAGAUUUUUGCAUGUUGGGUUUCGCACACACACACACAUAUAUAUAUAUAUAUAUAUCUGUGCUGUUCGGCAAAUUACACUGCUCGAAGUAAUCAGGAGAUCGCUUUUUUAUUGCUCGUAUAAUUUAAGAAAUACUUAAGCCAGAUCAUAUUUCUUCCUAAGAGAAAUUUGAACGUGAUCUCCUAAUUGGU